Molecule: long non-coding RNA, 350 nt
Filed under: Phasianus colchicus (ring-necked pheasant)
Lineage: Eukaryota; Metazoa; Chordata; Aves; Galliformes; Phasianidae
Description: lncRNA (ENSPCLG00000002223.1)
Source: RNAcentral
AAGACACUCAACUUCUCCUUAUGAAUAGAAGCACUGAAAUAGGGAGAAAUACGUUUGAUGAUGAUUUAAUUCUUUGAGAUGUACCAGCUUAUAAAGAGAGAGAGAAAAAAAUCAACAACAGAAAUCUCUAGUUCACUUGGACAGAUUUGCAAGGAUCUUUGAAAAUGUGAAGGAAAUGCUUUCUCAAAUCAGUUGUGUCUGUGUGGAGAGUGAAGGUGAUCAGUCUCAUCUUGGGAGGAAUGUAAUUUGGAAAGGUACGAACAGCUGAGAAGGGAUUCUCAUGGGCACAGCGUUUGAACACUAAAGUGGCGGCUAUCUUUCCCACUGCAAUAAAAGGGAAGCUGGUAACA